GCUGGCGGCCAAAGCGGCGGGGAAACACCCGGUCCCGUCCGAUCCCGGAAGUUAAGCCCGCCUGCGUUCUGGACGGUACUGUGGUGCGCGAGCCCACGGGAAGUCUGGAACGCUGCCAGCC
This 121-nucleotide ribosomal RNA is filed under the name Hadesarchaea archaeon. Lineage: Archaea; Methanobacteriati; Hadarchaeota (SeqCode); Hadarchaeia (SeqCode). The record is from RNAcentral.